Molecule: ribosomal RNA, 463 nt
Filed under: uncultured bacterium
Lineage: Bacteria
Description: partial 16S ribosomal RNA
Rfam family: Bacterial small subunit ribosomal RNA
Source: RNAcentral
GAUGAACGCUGACAGAAUGCUUAACACAUGCAAGUCGAUGGGGAAGUGGUGCUUGCACCAUGGCAACCAUGGCGGACGGGUGAGUAACGCGUAAGGGACUUACCUGCAGGACUGGGAUAACAGGGGGAAACUCCUGACAAGACCGGAUAAUGUCAUGGAGCUGCAUGGCUUUAUGAUGAAAGGAGACGCCUGCGGAGAGCCUUGCGUCCUAUUAGCUAGUUGGUGAGGUAAUGGCUCACCAAGGCGAAGAUAGGUAGCCGGCCUGAGAGGGUGGACGGCCACAAGGGGACGGAGAUACCGACCUUACUCCUACGGGAGGCAGCAGUGGGGAAUAUUGGACAAUGGGGGCAACCAUGAUCCAGCAAUUCUGUGUGGACGAAGAAGGUUUUCGGAUUGUAAAGUGCUUUCAGCAGGGAAGAAGUAAGUGACGGUACCUGCAGAAGAAGCGACGGCUAAAUACGUG